GCCUGCCCAGUGACCUUGUUUACGGCCGCGGUAUCCUAACCGUGCGAAGGUAGCGUAAUCACUUGUUCUCUAAAUGCGGACUUGUAUGAACGGCAUCACGAGGGUUAUACUGUCUCCUUUUUCUAAUCAGUGAAACUAAUCUCCCCGUGAAGAGGCGGGGAUAAGACUAUAAGACGAGAAGACCCUAUGGAGCUUUAAAUAAUAUAGCACUUGCCCUAUAACAUAAAAUUUCCGAAUCUUAUUCCAAAGCGAUAUGACUAUAAGUUUUUGGUUGGGGUGACCGCGGAGCAAAAUUUAACCUCCAUGUUGAAAGAAUUAAGCUAAGAAUCACCCUUCUAAGCAUCAAUAUAUUGACAUCAAUUGACCCAAUACACUUGAACAACGAACCAAGUUACCCUAGGGAUAACAGCGCA
This 413-nucleotide ribosomal RNA is filed under the name Nectophrynoides sp. HCL-2014. RNAcentral describes it as "partial 16S ribosomal RNA". It matches the Rfam family "Bacterial large subunit ribosomal RNA", at positions 1857 to 2484 of the family's 2925-position model. The record is from RNAcentral. Lineage: Eukaryota; Metazoa; Chordata; Amphibia; Anura; Bufonidae.